UGUAGUAAUUAAACAGCUCUGAGGCUCAAUAUGGGAGGUGGGCCACACACAGCAGACGCUAAAAAUCAGCUGCUUCUUGACUGAGAGUAAUUUUUGCCUAAGAGGGCAAGGGAAAAAAAUUAAGAAAAUUGUGACUGAGAUGCAGAAUGCCAUGAUAUUUAUUUGAGCAUGAAGGGGACGGUUUGGGGGAGAGACAUGACUUCCCUGCUCAUCUAACUGGAAGGAGCUGGUAUGAGCAUGCGUUGCUUAAAGAGGUAGAGCAAGUCACAGUAGGACCAAAAGAAUCCACAUCCUCUGCUUUCAGAAGCAAGGACCAGCUACUCACCUAAUAUGGCACAGAACAUCAACCAGGUAAACAUCAAUCAGAACAGAACAUCAACAGGUAAAAUAGAACAUCAACCUGUCCAGAACAUCAACAGAACUCCACAUGGUACUCAUCAUCACUGUUCCUGAAGAUCCUCUGACCCUUGGAACUGCAUUUCAGAGGAGCACAGUAGGUUGCAACAGCAAGUCGAAGCAGGAAAGUUUGAUCUCAUGAUUGGAGCUCUGCUUGUUGUACUUUGGAUCCAUCCUAUCAGCCCCAACCCACAGUUAGAUACA
Molecule: long non-coding RNA, 600 nt
Organism: Eublepharis macularius
Lineage: Eukaryota; Metazoa; Chordata; Lepidosauria; Squamata; Eublepharidae
Exons: 4
Source: RefSeq, a predicted model, not a curated record